AUGAAGUUCUUCAUGGUCCUGCUGCUGGCCAGCCUAGCCUCCACCUCUCUCGCCAACCUAAUCCCUAGCGCCAAUGAUGUCUUGAGGCCCU
RNAcentral lists this small RNA (91 nucleotides) under Pongo abelii (Sumatran orangutan). RNAcentral describes it as "transcribed unitary pseudogene". Lineage: Eukaryota; Metazoa; Chordata; Mammalia; Primates; Hominidae. The record is from RNAcentral.